UACGGGGGGGGCAAGCGUUGUUCGGAAUUACUGGGCGUAAAGCGCACGUAGGCGGCUUGGUAUGUCGGGUGUGAAAUCCCCGGGCUCAACCUGGGAACUGCAUCCGAAACUGCCUUGCUCGAGUAUGGGAGAGGGAAGUGGAAUUUCCGGUGUAGCGGUGAAAUGCGUAGAUAUCGGAAGGAACAUCAGUGGCGAAGGCGACUUCCUGGACCAAUACUGACACUGAGGAGCGAAAGCCAGGGGAGCAAACGGG
RNAcentral lists this ribosomal RNA (253 nucleotides) under uncultured bacterium. RNAcentral describes it as "partial 16S ribosomal RNA". It matches the Rfam family "Bacterial small subunit ribosomal RNA", at positions 524 to 776 of the family's 1533-position model. The record is from RNAcentral.